RNAcentral lists this ribosomal RNA (239 nucleotides) under uncultured bacterium. Its description in RNAcentral is "partial 16S ribosomal RNA". It matches the Rfam family "Bacterial small subunit ribosomal RNA", at positions 95 to 334 of the family's 1533-position model. The record is from RNAcentral.
UUGGCGGACGGGUGAGUAACGCGUGGGUAACCUGCCUUGUACUGGGGGACAACAGUUGGAAACGACUGCUAAUACCGCAUAAGCGCACAGCUUCGCAUGAAGCAGUGUGAAAAACUCCGGUGGUACAAGAUGGACCCGCGUCUGAUUAGCUGGUUGGUGAGGUAACGGCCCACCAAGGCAACGAUCAGUAGCCGGCCUGAGAGGGUGAACGGCCACAUUGGGACUGAGACACGGCCCAA